UGUUGUAAUUAAAUAUCUUCUCGCAAUCUUGUUUUUUCAAUUAUAAAAAGUUUGCCUUAUAUACGUUUGCCUUGUUAUCUUUUUUUAUCUUUAUUUAUAACUAAUGGCAAUGAUAAAGUCAUAUAUCUUGAUUUGCGUUUUCAGUUUUCAUUGAAAAUUAUUCUCAUCGUGUUACAUUAGCUGUGGCUUUGGAUCGAAUAAAUAUAAUUAUAUUUUAUAUUUAUAACUGCAACUUGUUACAAAAACUUGGAUUGAUUCUGAUUCUGUUGACAACAUUGUUAAUUUAGCUACUUUGUUUAGAAAAUAAAAGUGAUUGAGUUAUUUACCUGAAAGUAAGGAGAAUAUAGAUUAAAUACUUGCUGUAUAUACACUUGAGAUAAAUUUAAAAUUAAAGUAGUUUUCUCAUACUACACUAUUGUAUUAAUGUCGAUAUAUUCUUACGUAUUGCUAAUUAUUGCGAAGUAUUGCUAUGUAUUGCUAGCAUAUUGCUGGCAUAUUGCUAGCGUAUUGCUAACAUCUAUUUUAUUGCAAUUGUUACUGUUUUGCCGCAACAUAUUUCUAAUGAAAUGAUUGCCACAGUGGUUUACCCUUCAUACCAUAAAAACUUAUUUUAUGAAGGUUUUUUUAUGGAACUACAAUUUUUGAUCUGGUGAUAAAAAUUGUUAAGAGUUGUUUUGAGUUUUGAAAUGCUUGCUUUAAUUUUGUUCUGUUUUCUAUAGUUCUUUAUUAUUUCAAACUUGGGUGUACUUACAUUACUUAAUAUGAUCAUUUUUACGUGAAAUGCAUGUCUUUCUUAUUCCUUCGUGCUAUCGUAUGUCUGAUGUGGUGGAGUAUUUUAUUAGAUAUACCGAAUUUUGGAAUGAUAACUCAUAUUCCGUUGGAUUAUAUGCACUUGGUUUGCAUUGGUGUGAUCAAGAAAAUUUUGAAUUUUUGGUUAUCUGGGCCGUUAAAUGUUCGAUUGCCGACACGAUCAGUAAGCAGCUUUUCGAAAUUGUUAAUUGAAAUGCAGCCAUCGAUAUCCGAAUUUGUUCGUAAGCCGCGGGAAUUACAUUUCUUGAGUUUAUAGAAAGCCACAGAGUUGAGACUUUUACUUUUAUAUACUGGUCCCAUUAUUUUGAAGAAUUAUAUUAAGAAAAAUAUCUACAGGAAUUUUUUAACAUUGCAUGUAGCCAUUCGGCUAUUGUGUUCUCCAGAUCUUUUACAUAUUACUUAUGCGGAAUCUUUACUACAACACUUUGUGCAGUCAUUCAUAAUCUUAUAUAGGUCACAGCAUACAUCUUACAAUAUACAUGCACUAUUUUAUUUAGCAGAUGAUGUUAGAAAAUUUGGAUCUUUAGAUACGUUCAGCACUUUUCGAUAUUAAAAUUAUUUAAAAAAAAUAAAACAGUUUCUUAGAAGAGUUGAACGUCCCUUACAAAAAAUCCACAAUCGUUUAACAGAAAUGGAAUAUUGCUCAUCGUUUGAAAAAGAACAUAGAAAAAUGAGUGGUGGUACAUGGAACACACAUUGCGAGUCCAAUUUUACCUGGAAUAAAUGGUCCUCAAUAUUCAACAUUUUCAAGAGUAGAUUUCACUCUCUCUAUUCAUGAUCCAAAUAACUGUUGUGGUUUAAACGAUUGUUCGAUUGUUAUCAUAGAGAAUAUUGUCACUAAUGCUACUAAUGAUCUUUGAAUUAUUGGUCGAAAAUUCAUCAAUUUGAAUGAUCUGUAUACUGAACCAUGUAAUUUCUCCUUGUUGAGAAUAUAUAAGGCAACAGAAUGUGAAAAUUUAUCGAUCUGGCCUCUAACUUCUGUUACAAUAAAAUAUGUAAAAUUCAAUUUUUGUAAUACAUUCGUACUUCUACCAUUGAUGCAUAAUGUUUAAUAUAUUUUAUUUGCAAGAUGGCUCUUCCAAACGAUCUAUUCCAUUUACUAGAAUUUGAGGAUGGAAUACAAGUAGUACCUAAUAAUUGGGUACAAAAAGAUAUCAACAAAUGUUGGUAUCCCAAUUAUAAAACAGAUCAACAGAUAUCAUUAAAGCAAUAAAAGAAACGACAAACGCGUCAAGAUAAUUGGUUGAUGUAUCCAAUUAAAAGAGUAUUUGGUAUAUAUGACUCCUACAGUCAAGCAAUAAACUAAAAAAAGCAGAAAUGAAUUCCGAUAUUAAUACCGAUACUGACGACAAAGCACAAAGAAAAAUCAGAGCCAGAAAACAGAUUGAUAUUGAUGAUGAUGAAAGCGAUGAUGAUCAUGAUAGUGAUCCUCUCCGCCUACCAUCAUAUCCGAAAGCACCUAUAGUUGUUUAUACGAAUACGUACAAAGGAGAUGCACGCAACAUACCCAAAAAGGAACUAAAGAAUAUAUUAAAAUUAAAUAUAUACAAAGGAGAUAUCCAAGGAUCUCCCAUCUCCCAUAGAGAGAUACCCAAAAGAGAUAACCAUACACAAAAAGGAAAUGAAGAAUAUAUUACAAUUGAAAAUUAUCUUCAUCGUAUGGAUAGAACGUUAGCAGAUAUAAAAUUUGACAUAAAUCAACUCAUUGAGCAAUAUCAACUUAUAUUGACUAAAAUGAAUUCAAAUAAUGGUUCCAAUCUGACGCGAGAAUGUCAUAGCCCUUUGCCAAAUGAAUGAAGCAAAUUGUCUCUCCCUCUGAAAACUGUAGAAGAACUAGAAUAUUUACAAUGCAUGCUUUUUUCAAAUGAAGAAGGAUUAAAAGAGCGUAUGUUCAGCAUAUUGGCAGCUAUUGGUGGAUGUACUUACGAAGAAAUGGUUAAAAGAAUGCUUAUAUAAUAUAUAUUUUUACGAAUGAAGUAGCUAGUUUGUACAGUUGGGUGGGAGGAAAGGGAAAACGAAAACUUCAUCAUUUAGAGAUAAUGAAAUUAAUGUUUAAAGUCAUCAGGAAGACAUUCCCUAAUGUCACAGAGAAAGAUUUUGAAACAAAAUGUAAAGAUUGGUUUCGACACGCGAAACACAGAUUCGAGAAUGAAAAACGGCGGCAAAGUAAUUCGACGCAGCAAUAAUCAGUUGCCAGAAGCAUAAUUUUUACAUCGAAGCAACAAUUAUUAUAUGCAAUUGCUGAACGCUCAUGUGACACCGACGAAUAUUCGUAUAACGCCUGUGCAUCCGAUCAACCGCAGCCGUACAUAUUAGGCUAUCCUAACAUAAGAUUUUAAUUGCCCACAUAUCUGCUAUCAUCGUCCGGGGUUAUGGAAAAGUUUCAUCCACUGAAGGAAGACUUUGCUAUGCUUUAUGUAGCGCUCGAGGAAGAGCUGAAUGUGCAGACGUACAACCACGACAAGAUCGUGUCGUUCGUUGACUUAGCAUGGGACGCGAUCAUAAGAGAAAAUGUGACUGCAAUCGCUCGUAUAGUUUUAUAGUGGACAAUGAAAGUGAAAGUUGUCGAAACGAAGGCAAUAACAGCAAUUUUUGUAUUCGUAAACCAUUUCCAUUAUAAAUUAUAUUUAGUUAGUUUUUUUCAAGUCUUUUAGUUAAAUUGAGUCGAAAUAUUAAAGAUUAAAAUAUAUAAAAAGAUAUAGUGUUUUACUUAAUAAUAUAAAUGAAGACGUGCGGAUAUAUCAAAGAAAAGUAAAUGCGCGUUAUAUAAUGAGAUGAUAGCAUGGUUAAGUUAUUAGAACUCAAAAUGGUUACUUCUUCCAGCGCUGUGGAAUAUUCGAUAUAAAAUUUAAAAAAAUCACUAAUGGAUUUUGAAAACGUUAAAGUGCGCUCAAAAUCUGGUCAAAUGUCUGUGAAAAUGAAAUGCUAAAUGUGUCACAAAAUUAUAUUUUUUUAGACACUUAUUUAGUAUGUAAAUGAAUUUGUAUGCACGUGUGUAUAAUUCGUGUAAAUUUUGUAUAGAUUUCAUCGGGAAACCAUAGAAAUGAGAUUGCUAUUUGCUCAUAUAGUCAUCAUAUACACGUUGAAAUAUCUCUGAACUUUUCCAAGGAUUCUAAACAAAAAUUAUUCUAGAUUAAUUGGAUUUCAUGUGAAUAAUUACGCUAUAAUAUUCUUAAUCAAUGGACUAAAUUAUAUUUACGAAUCACUAACAAUAUUUACUGCUUUGCUUGCGUAUAUUGUCUACAAGAGACACAGUUUAUAUAAUCUUGUAUUAUUCCAAAUUUCGCAGAAAAAUGAACGAUAUAAUUUUUGAUGUGUAAAAGUUUAAAUAUAAAAUGGAUGCGUGUCGCAGCUGCCAGAUAUAGGUGAGAGAAUAGAAAGUUGAAUAAUUCAAUCUAAUUCUGCUAUCUGCAAACUAGAUUAUAGAGUGGAUUGCUUUUUUUUUAAAUAACUAAUGAAUAUGCAAAUGUAUUAUUAUUAUGUCGGAAUAAUUAUUAAAAAACAAAAUAUAGCAUUGUUAUUAUUAAACAAUGCAAAAAAUUUUUGUAUUUUGAGUUUCAAGAUAGAAAAGCAGAUUAAAUAAAAAAAUUAGCAGAAUAAAAACAUAACGCAGAUUUUUAGAAUAUUUAGAUCAAAAAGAAAACUGAUAAAUAUAUAAACAUUAUUUCAUAUAUGCUCUAAUUAUGCGCACUAUAUUGUGUACAUGAUUCAGUUACACACAGAAAAAAUCUUUAAGAUUAUUUACUAAAAAUUAAAUAAUAAAAAAUAAAUAAAAAAAAUAAAAAAAAUAAAAAUAAAUAAAAAAAAAUAUGUGAAAUAAGAAAAUUUGUACUAAUCACGUUCAAUUUUCAAAUAAUAUUUUUAUUGAAAUUAAUACUAUAAAACGAUGUUAAUAACAACAGAACUAUGAAAACUGGAUAAUUCGAUGAUAAUUUAUCGUAAUUAUAUCGUAGAGCAAAACAUGCCAUUCUAUGUUAAAUCAGAUAUGAACUGUUUAAUAAUGAACUGUAUAACUCAAUAUAUAAAAGCUUCACCUUCGAGAAAAAUGAGUGGUUGACAAUACAAGCAUAUGAUUAAUUAAAAUGCAUUUUAUACAUUGUCAAAGUUCAACGGUUACACAACAACAAAGCAAAAAUGUGUGAGUUAAAGUAAUAUUUAGCGGCAUUAUUUAAACGCGAGAUAUUUUGUUUGUUCAAACUUAUAUACACAGUUGUAAAGCAUUAAAAAAUUAUGCAAUAUACAUGCUUUUUAGUAUGGAUAAAAUUUUGAAAGAAAUUAAAAACAUUUUUUUGGAAUUUAAACCAAAAUUAUUUUAUGCGUCAAAAAUAUUAAAUUGCUCCUUAAAUAAUAUUAUUGGUAAAAAUUAUAUUGCAUUUAACGGUUUUAAUAAUACUUUUUUACUUUUUUUAGAACAUUUUAUUUUCUUCAAAUAUUUUAUUUUUUAAUUAAUUUUAAAAAAAAUUAUUUGAAAAUCAUAAAAAUAUAAAAACUUUAUAACGCAUUUAAAUAUUUAUUUGUAUAUUUACAUGUAUGUAGGAUGUAGGCGCACGGUAACAACUGUAUCACCGUAUGCAGAGAGAGCAGGUUAGAUCGAGUCAGGAAAGUCCUUUACUAUUUUAAGAUUUUUGCAAUAAUUGAAGAGAAAUUAAUUUUAAAACAUCUAUCAAUUUGCGCGGAUAUAAACGCAUGAUGAGAAAAGACAUUUUUAGACCCAGACACCAAUGUUAUUUUGGCUUAAAACUUUUGGCUUGAUAAUAAACAAUAUUAUUUUAUUUUUGACUUUA
Long non-coding RNA from Cataglyphis hispanica, 5594 nucleotides. RefSeq lists it as uncharacterized. The record is from RefSeq and is a predicted model, not a curated record. NCBI's taxonomy places the organism in Eukaryota, Metazoa, Arthropoda, Insecta, Hymenoptera, Formicidae. The transcript has 9 exons.